UAUUACCGUGAGGGAAAAAUGAAAAAGAACUUUGAAGAGAGAGUUCAAGAGUACGUGAAACCGUUCAGGGGUAAACCUGAGAAACCCAAAAGAUAGAAUGGGGAGAUUCAUCCGUCAGCUUUAAUGGCUUUCGUGUGGUGCGCGAUGCUUGGGACUCGUCCUCGUGGCACGCUACCGCUGCGAAUGACCGUUUUAGUCGGCGUGCACUUCUCCCCUAGUAGGACGUCGCGACCCGUUGGGUGCUGGCCUACGGUCCGGUUUGUUGACUGUCGUGUCGCGUUCGCGCGCGCGCGGCAGACGACUGGUAACCCGGCCAGCUGCCCGGCGGUAUAAAAUUUUUGAAACGGUAUCAGGUCGCACUUAAUGCGUUCCGGCUCGUAGGCAGACUCGUCUCGCUCGGAUUUACGGACUUAGUGCCGUUGCUGAGUGUUUGAUGUGGUUGUUAGUCUACGAUGUCCUCGAACAGGCCUAAAAUUAUAUACCCGUCGGCGACGCUACUGCUAGAUCUGGCCGUACUUUCGAGACCCGUCUUGAAACACGGACCAAA
Molecule: ribosomal RNA, 547 nt
Filed under: Coccobius nr. fulvus FAFU Yu Si X27-1xiong
Lineage: Eukaryota; Metazoa; Arthropoda; Insecta; Hymenoptera; Aphelinidae
Description: partial large subunit ribosomal RNA
Rfam family: Eukaryotic large subunit ribosomal RNA
Source: RNAcentral